GGCCCUGUAGCAUAACUGGAUACUGCACCUCGUUACGGCCGAGGAGAAUUGGGGUUCGAAUCCCUACAGGGUCA
Molecule: transfer RNA, 74 nt
Filed under: Flavobacteriales bacterium
Lineage: Bacteria; Pseudomonadati; Bacteroidota; Flavobacteriia; Flavobacteriales
Description: tRNA-Arg
Rfam family: tRNA
About the family: Transfer RNA (tRNA) molecules are approximately 80 nucleotides in length. Their secondary structure includes four short double-helical elements and three loops (D, anti-codon, and T loops).
Source: RNAcentral